GAUGAACGCUGGCGGCGUGCCUAAUACAUGCAAGUCGAGCGAACAGACGAGGAGCUUGCUCCUCUGACGUUAGCGGCGGACGGGUGAGUAACACGUGGAUAACCUACCUAUAAGACUGGGAUAACUUCUGGAAACCGGAGCUAAUACCGGAUAAUAUAUUGAACCGCAUGGUUCAAUAGUGAAAGACGGUUUUGCUGUCACUUAUAGAUGGAUCCGCGCCGCAUUAGCUAGUUGGUAAGGUAACGGCUUACCAAGGCAACGAUGCGUAGCCGACCUGAGAGGGUGAUAGGCAACACUGGAACUGAGACACGGUCCAGACUCCUACGGGAGGCAGCAGUAGGGAAUCUUCCGCAAUGGGCGAAAGCCUGACGGAGCAACGCCGCGUGAGUGAUGAAGGUCUUCGGAUCGUAAAACUCUGUUAUUAGGGAAGAACAAAUGUGUAAGUAACUAUGCACGUCUUGACGGUACCUAAUCAGAAAGCCACGGCUAACUACGUG
This 497-nucleotide ribosomal RNA is filed under the name uncultured bacterium. RNAcentral's name for it is "partial 16S ribosomal RNA". It matches the Rfam family "Bacterial small subunit ribosomal RNA", at positions 28 to 507 of the family's 1533-position model. The record is from RNAcentral.